RNAcentral lists this ribosomal RNA (253 nucleotides) under uncultured bacterium. RNAcentral's name for it is "partial 16S ribosomal RNA". It matches the Rfam family "Bacterial small subunit ribosomal RNA", at positions 524 to 776 of the family's 1533-position model. The record is from RNAcentral.
UACGGAGGGGGCUAGCGUUGUUCGGAAUUACUGGGCGUAAAGCGCACGUAGGCGGCUUUGUAAGUUAGAGGUGAAAGCCCGGGGCUCAACUCCGGAAUUGCCUUUAAGACUGCAUCGCUAGAAUUGUGGAGAGGUAAGUGGAAUUCCGAGUGUAGAGGUGAAAUUCGUAGAUAUUCGGAAGAACACCAGUGGCGAAGGCGGCCAACUGGACCAUUACUGACGCUGAGGCGCGAAAGCGUGGGGAGCAAACAGG